RNAcentral lists this non-coding RNA (219 nucleotides) under Karenia brevis. Lineage: Eukaryota; Dinophyceae; Gymnodiniales; Kareniaceae. The record is from RNAcentral.
GGCAGCAUCGUUGCAGAUGUCAAAGCCAAAAUCUUGCAGCCUCCUGCUGGCACUCUCUGCCCAUUGGCACGGGGACUUUCCCCGCAGCAUUGCCAGGAGCAAGCUCCUCGUCUGUGCGCUGCGAAGUCGUGCUUCCCCUGCCUUCUGAAGCAAAGCCCAAUGCUCAAAUUAUCUUUUCACUAAGUAUUGUAUUGCUAUGCAAAUGCCAAAGACGCCCAC